AGGGUACCCGGAGAAAAAGCAUCGGCUAACUCCGUGCCAGCAGCCGCGGUAAUACGGAGGAUGCGAGCGUUAUCCGGAUUUAUUGGGUUUAAAGGGUGCGUAGGCGGGAUGCCAAGUCAGCGGUCAAAUACGGGGGCUCAACCUGCGUCCGCCGUUGAAACUGGGGGCCUUGAGUGGGCGAGAAGAAGGCGGAAUGCGUGGUGUAGCGGUGAAAUGCAUAGAUAUCACGCAGAACCCCGAUUGCGAAGGCAGCCUUCCGGCGCCCUACUGACGCUGAGGCACGAAAGUGCGGGGAUCGAACAG
RNAcentral lists this ribosomal RNA (303 nucleotides) under uncultured bacterium. RNAcentral describes it as "bacterial SSU rRNA". It matches the Rfam family "Bacterial small subunit ribosomal RNA", at positions 472 to 775 of the family's 1533-position model. The record is from RNAcentral.